UACGUAGGGUGCAAGCGUUAAUCGGAAUUACUGGGCGUAAAGCGUGCGCAGGCGGUUAUGUAAGACAGAUGUGAAAUGCCCGGGCUUGACCUGGGAACUGCAUUUGUGACUGCAUGGCUAGAGUUUGGCAGAGGGGGGUAGAAUUCCACGUGUAGCAGUGAAAUGCGUAGAGAUGUGGAGGAACACCGAUGGCGAAGGCAGCCUUCUGGGCCAACACUGACGCUCAUGCACGAAAGCGUGGGGAGCAAACAGG
RNAcentral lists this ribosomal RNA (253 nucleotides) under uncultured bacterium. Its description in RNAcentral is "partial 16S ribosomal RNA". It matches the Rfam family "Bacterial small subunit ribosomal RNA", at positions 524 to 776 of the family's 1533-position model. The record is from RNAcentral.